AACUCUUUCCUGAAUUUUCAGCUUUGUACAAUUGGUGCUAUUUCUUUUCUUCUUUUUCUUUAACGUUGCACCCAAAUCGAUGACGAGUGCAAGCAAUUCUUGGAGCUGAAGACGAGGAUGAACUAUUGGUUCGUCACAUUCAAGAUCGAAGAUCAUCACAUUUUUGAAAAUUUUGAUGGAAGGUAUAUAGGCAUACCCUUUUAAUGAGAACUCGUAUAUAGUGGAAGUUUUUGUCCCUUAGGCUAUAUUUGGUAAAUGGUUUCUCUUUCCAGUUAAAAUAUAUGAUAGAUUGAAAGGGAGAACUCGUAUGGUUAUAUUCUAAGUGUAAGAAUGUAAUAUUCUAAGUUUACUUAUCAAGAACAUUGUGUUAUUGGGGGAACAUAUCAGUUGACUGAAAGAAAUAACUAAUUCUCUAAGGUAUUUUCACCUAACAGUAAGAGGUAGAUAUUAGUUUGUAAGUUUGUUAGGCUAACAGUAAGAGGUUUUUUUUUUGUAUCAUGGUUGUUUAGUUUUCCUCCGAAGAAGAAGUUCAUGGAGGAAAAGGCUGGGGUUAUGGCUACGGCAGUGAAAGCAUAAUUGAUCAAUCAGCUAGAAUUCUUAUUGGUGUGUUGCUUAGCUUGAGGCUAUACUAUUUCUUUCUUGUAAUGCCUUGAAUAGUUGAAUGUAAUGUUGGAUAAAUAGUGUUUGAAUGUAAUGUUGGAUGAAAAAUAUUUAAAUAAAUGUAUAAAUUUUU
RNAcentral lists this long non-coding RNA (733 nucleotides) under Salvia miltiorrhiza (redroot sage). RNAcentral describes it as "long non-coding RNA (SMIL_LNC010799)". Lineage: Eukaryota; Viridiplantae; Streptophyta; Magnoliopsida; Lamiales; Lamiaceae. The record is from RNAcentral.